UUUGCCGUCCACGGUGGGGUAUCUCUCCAGGACCUUUGUUUUGGACGUGUAAAAUCCCCUGUCCAAGAAACAGUUGAUGCCUCUGUUGGUGUCUCUGCGGUGGGCUCUUCGGUCUCUCAGCUGGGCAGCUACAAGGCUUGCAGGCCUACAGGGUGCAGUCCAACAGGUACAUUAUCUAAAGAUCUGCAAAGCUGAGGAACAGAUGCUGGAAUGCUGUGACCCUGAGACGUGACUGCGCCCUGCCAGGCCCAACAGCUGCCUCUCCAGAUGACACAUUUACCCCUUCUCCAACCGCAAGUGUACUGGCAUGUAACUGCAUCAGAUCUGGACACACGUGCAUGUGAGCAGAUAGAAGAAUCAGUGCAGAGACUCAAAACUGCCUUGGGGCUCAUCAAGCCUGAGCAACAAAAUAAAUCAGAGAAAUGAAAAAAGGAGCAGAAAAUAUAGGACAAAAUAUUACAGUCUUCUCAAAAUAGUUGCAGAAUUGAGGCAACCUUCCCUGGGAGCUCCGUCAUCUCCGUGCUGACCAGCCGAGGCCUGGCCCAUCUGCCUCGAAGCCCUCAUUCAGUGCACUUAUUGGACCAGAGUCAUCAGCUACCUGACUGUCUCCUGUGAGGCCACGGGUGCUUCUGGUGCCCUAUCUGCAGCCCUUUCUCUACCCAAUACCCCUGCGCCUCCACCACCAGCAUUUAACUCUGUGUGCCUGCAUCCUCUGAGGCUGGCUUCUCUCAGGAAGAGCAACACAGAUUCUUUUUGGCUCAGCUUCUCCCUCUGCUGCAACAUAUCUGGGCCCGCUAUAUCAUUUCCUCUCUCUCAAAAGCGUAUGUAGAAAGGAGGAAGACUUGCAUAAGGCUCCCCAGGCUCUAGAACCAGAAAGGCUUUCACCUGUUUGCUGUGAGGUGGUGGUUCCCUCACACCACAUCACAGCUUGUUUACACUACAACUCCUAGCCAAGCCUUGCUCUUGUGAUAUGUAGAGAUGAAUUAGGUGAACUUUGAAAAUCCCUUUUCUCUCUUGAGAAAAUUUUCUUUUCCAGACGCAUGUUGGCUACCCCAGGUUUUACAGAAACUCUCAGAGAACUCAAGUAAUUUGCUCACCAUCAUACAACUGGGAAUGGGCAAAGGUGCAGUUUGAACUCUGACCUGUUUGACUUCUGAAGACCAUGCCCUUUCUAUAAAGCAAUGUCAUCUACCCUGCACCACCCUGCACAGAAGGAGAGAUAACCACUAGAUUUCACUCACCACUGACGUCACAGCCAUUUCUCCUCAACUACAAUCAAAAUGGCAAGGGCAAUGGCUCUCCUAAGUGGACAUAGACUCCUAGAGUGCUCCCUGAGGAUUCAAGACCUUGGUUUCCUCCAAACCAGUCCCCCAUCCCUUGUUCAUACUCUCCAUCCUGACUUUGGAUGAUGUCACCAGCCCCUUGUGUCAUCACUCAGCUCAACUGCCUCUUUAUAAGAAGAGAGUAAGACUAGGACGGUCAAGCCAAGGUGGUGAGGUCUGGAUGGGCAGACCUCAGGUCAUACCCAGCUAUUUCCAGCCCCAGGAGAAGAUCUGGAAAUUUGCCUGCACAGUAAAGAAAAAUGGUCAAAUCACAUGCCUCAUCAAUCGUGUGUGAUGUGAAAGAUUGAGAGCAGGAGUUGAAGGAAGUAUGGAUCUCUGAACCACUCUUUGGAGAAGACUAACACAGGAAAGCCACCCAACCCACAUAGGACUGUGCUGGGGUGACAACCCUGCGUUGUGUUAAGGCGUUGAAAUCUGAAGCUUUGUUUCUGAGGAAUCACUGAACACUCAUCUAUAGAAGAGGACAAAGAAUAUCUCCAGGGUUUCUGCAAAGAUGAAUUGAGAUUAUGCAAAGCACAGAGCAGUGUCUGGCACAGUAAAGGCUCGUUUUGUGGCAAGUGUUAUAUUUUAAGGUCAUGUUCAUUUAGAGGUUAAGAAUAAGGUCAUUAAGAUCAAUAGAUGGGUGUUUAUAUCCCAGCUCUGCUACUAACUAACCAUGCAUGUUAAGAACAUUAUUUAACUUCUCUAUGCCUCAAUUUCUUUAUUUAUAAAAUGGCAAUAAAAAUAGCAUCCAACUUACACAAGGUUGUGAAUUUAUAAUAAGAUAAUCCAUGUGGUGGUGGUGAUGGGUGAUGAUCUCCUGCCUGAUCUACCGUUAUAGAAGCAGAGUUGAUUGUCAGGGAAAAGAACUAAAGUGACAAGCUUGUGUGGAGACUGAACUAUGAUUUUGAUCUGAUCAACGGAACUGACUAGUCACAACAUAAGUACUGACAGAGCUGUCUCUAUCCACAAAGACUGUGCCCAGAUCAGAGCAGAAUGUCUAUAUCAGUAGGCAGAUUUUCUGCUGAAGACAAGAGAAACUUAGGAGCUGGGAAUACACAUAUACCAUUUUGACUUUAUGUUGUGUUUGUAUUUCUUUUUUAGUAAUUUCAAUGCAGUAAGGGAUGUAGCAUUAAAGAUUAAUUUCUUUCAAUUAUAAUAGUAAUGUAGUUGAUUGUAGGAAGUUAGAAGUACAGAUAUUUGUACAGAAAAAAAUGCAUAGUUCUCAUCUAACAAACAACUAGUAAUUUUUCUGUAUUUACGUUCAGCCUUUUUGCUAUGGAUAAGCUUUGUUUAUUUAACAUAGUUGGAUUUUCUAAUGUUAUAUU
Long non-coding RNA from Balaenoptera acutorostrata (minke whale), 2650 nucleotides. RefSeq lists it as uncharacterized. The record is from RefSeq and is a predicted model, not a curated record. NCBI's taxonomy places the organism in Eukaryota, Metazoa, Chordata, Mammalia, Artiodactyla, Balaenopteridae. The transcript has 6 exons.